This 479-nucleotide ribosomal RNA is filed under the name uncultured bacterium. Its description in RNAcentral is "bacterial SSU rRNA". It matches the Rfam family "Bacterial small subunit ribosomal RNA", at positions 27 to 507 of the family's 1533-position model. The record is from RNAcentral.
GGACGAACGCUGGCGGGCGUGCCUAAUGCAUGCAAGUCGAGCGGGCUACAGUCUUCGGAUUGUAGCUUAGCGGCGAACGGGUGAGUAACACGUAGGUAAUCUACCCUUCAGAGGAGGACAACCUCAGGAAACUGAGGCUAAACCUCCAUACGUUCAUAUGCAGGGAUGCAGAUGAAGAAAGAGUUACCCGUGAGGGUAGCUGCUGAAGGAUGAGCCUGCGGCCCAUCAGGUAGUUGGUGAGGUAAUGGCUCACCAAGGCGACGACGGGUAGCCGGCCUGAGAGGGCGACCGGCCACACUGGGACUGAGACACGGCCCAGACCCCUACGGGAGGCAGCAGUGGGGAAUAUUGCACAAUGGGCGAAAGCCUGAUGCAGCGACGCCGCGUGAGGGAUGACGGCCUUCGGGUUGUAAACCUCUUUCAGCAGGGAAGAAGCGAAAGUGACGGUACCUGCAGAAGAAGCACCGGCUAACUACGUG